This 66-nucleotide transfer RNA is filed under the name Hemicaecilius mockfordi. RNAcentral's name for it is "tRNA-Met". Lineage: Eukaryota; Metazoa; Arthropoda; Insecta; Psocodea; Sphaeropsocidae. The record is from RNAcentral.
UAAAAAGUAAGCUAAAUUUAAGCUUUUGGGUUCAUACCUCAACUAUAGGAAAAUCCCUCUUUUUAA